AGCGAACGCUGGCGGCAGGCCUAACACAUGCAAGUCGAACGGACCCUUCGGGGUUAGUGGCGGACGGGUGAGUAACACGUGGGAACGUGCCUUUAGGUUCGGAAUAGCUCCUGGAAACGGGUGGUAAUGCCGAAUGUGCCCUUCGGGGGAAAGAUUUAUCGCCUUUAGAGCGGCCCGCGUCUGAUUGGCUUGUUGGUGGGGUAAUGGCCCACCAAGGCUACGAUCAGUAGCUGGUCUGAGAGGAUGACCAGCCACAUUGGGACUGAGACACGGCCCAAACUCCUACGGGAGGCAGCAGUGGGGAAUCUUGCGCAAUGGGCGAAAGCCUGACGCAGCCAUGCCGCGUGUAUGAUGAAGGUCUUAGGAUUGUAAAAUACUUUCACCGGUGAGGAUAAUGACUGUAGCCGGAGAAGAAGCCCCGGCUAACUUCGUGCCAGCAGCCGCGGUAAUACGAAGGGGGCUAGCGUUGCUCGGAAUUACUGGGCGUAAAGGGAGCGUAGGCGGACAUUUAAGUCGA
RNAcentral lists this ribosomal RNA (517 nucleotides) under uncultured bacterium. RNAcentral describes it as "bacterial SSU rRNA". It matches the Rfam family "Bacterial small subunit ribosomal RNA", at positions 28 to 591 of the family's 1533-position model. The record is from RNAcentral.